AGCUUUGUGCAGUGGCAGAAUCGUAGCCAAUGAGUUUUAUCCAAGGCGUGAUUAUUGCUGUUUUAGAAAUGAUAAUAAUGAUUAUUGUUAUUGUUAUAAUUAUUAAACUACUAGAGGCCCUGUGCACGAAAUUUGU
Small nuclear RNA from Pipistrellus kuhlii (Kuhl's pipistrelle), 136 nucleotides. RefSeq annotates it as U4 spliceosomal RNA. The record is from RefSeq and is a predicted model, not a curated record. The transcript has a single exon. NCBI's taxonomy places the organism in Eukaryota, Metazoa, Chordata, Mammalia, Chiroptera, Vespertilionidae.